RNAcentral lists this ribosomal RNA (507 nucleotides) under uncultured bacterium. RNAcentral's name for it is "bacterial SSU rRNA". It matches the Rfam family "Bacterial small subunit ribosomal RNA", at positions 29 to 526 of the family's 1533-position model. The record is from RNAcentral.
AUAAACGCUAGCGGCAGGCCUAACACAUGCAAGUCGAGGGGCAGCAUUUAAGUAGCUUGCUACUUAAGAUGGCGACCGGCGCACGGGUGCGUAACGCGUAUGUAACCUACCUUAAACAGGGGGAUAAUCCAGAGAAAUUUGGUCUAAUACCCCAUAAUACUAUGAUUGGCAUCAAUUUUAGUUGAAAAUUCCGAUGGUUUAAGAUGGACAUGCGUGACAUUAGCUAGAUGGUGAGGUAACGGCUCACCAUGGCGACGAUGUCUAGGGGGACUGAGAGGUUUUCCCCCCACACUGGUACUGAGACACGGACCAGACUCCUACGGGAGGCAGCAGUGAGGAAUAUUGGUCAAUGGACGCAAGUCUGAACCAGCCAUGCCGCGUGCAGGAUGACGGCUCUAUGAGUUGUAAACUGCUUUUAUACGAGGGUAAAAGUCUCUACGUGUAGGGAUUUGAAAGUAUCGUAUGAAUAAGGAUCGGCUAACUCCGUGCCAGCAGCCGCGGUAAAAC